GUAUAGGCGAUAGAAAUUUUAAUCUGGCGCUAUAGACACAGUACCGUAAGGGAAAGAAUAAAAAUCGUCUGAGCAUAAAACAGCAAGAAUUAAUCCCUGUACCUUUCGCAUAAUGGAUCAACUAGAAACAAUUUCGCAAAGAGAACUAAAGCCAAAUCCCCCGAAACCAGACGAGCUACCCGAAAACAGCUAAAAGAGCGCACCCGUCUAUGUGGCAAAAUAGUGGGAAGAUUUGCGGGUAGAGGUGACAAGCCUACCGAGCCUGGUGAUAGCUGGUUAUCCAAGAUAGAAUCUUAGUUCAACCUUGAGUUUACCUACAGAACUACUUAAUCCCCUUGUAAACUCAAUUGUUAGUCUAAAGAGGCACAGCUCUUUAGACACUAGGAAAAAACCUUAUAUAGAGAGUAAAAAGCAUAACCACCAUAGUUGGCCCAAAAGCAGCCAUCAAUUAAGAAAGCGUUCAAGCUCAACAUCAACCACCUAAAAAACCCCAAACAUAUAACUGAACUCCUCACAUCACAUUGGAUUAAUCUAUCACUAUAUAGAAGCAAUAACGUUAGUAUAAGUAACAUGAAUAUUUUCUCCACUGCAUAAGCCUAAAUCAGACCGAAAACUUCACCGAUACUUAACAGCUUAGUAUUGACAAACAUAAACAAGCUCAUACUACCUUCACUGUUAAUCCAACACAGGCAUGCCCCUAAGGAAGGUUAAAAAAAGUAAAAGGAAUUCGGCAAACUUAACCCCCGCCUGUUUACCAAAAACAUCACCUCUAGCAUCACUAGUAUUAGAGGCACUGCCUGCCCAGUGACACAUGGUUAACGGCCGCGGUACCCUGACCAUGCAAAGGUAGCAUAAUCGCUUGUUCUUUAAAUAGGGACUUGCAUGAAUGGCAUCACGAAGGUUUAACUGUCUCUUACUUUUAACCAGUGAAAUUGGCCUGUCCGUGAAGAGACGGACAUGAACUAAUAAGACGAGAAGACCCUGUGGAGCUUCAAUUUAUCAGUGCAACUAAAAACUAUACAAACCUACAGGCCCUUAAACCUCUAUACCUGCACUAAAAAUUUUGGUUGGGGUGACCUCGGAGCACAACCAAACCUCCGAAUAAUCUAUGCUAAGACCACACAAGUCAAAUCGAACACUUACAAUUGACCCAAUAAGUUGAUCAACGGAACAAGUUACCCCAGGGAUAACAGCGCAAUUCUAUUCUAGAGUCCAUAUCAACAAUAGAGUUUACGACCUCGAUGUUGGAUCAGGACAUCCUAAUGGUGCAGCAGCUAUCAAGGGUUCGUUUGUUCAACGAUUAAAGUUCUACGUGAUCUGAGUUCAGACCGGAGCAAUCCAGGUCGGUUUCUAUCUAUUCUACAUUUCUCCCUGUACGA
This 1379-nucleotide ribosomal RNA is filed under the name Chlorocebus sabaeus (green monkey). Its description in RNAcentral is "Bacterial large subunit ribosomal RNA". It matches the Rfam family "Bacterial large subunit ribosomal RNA", at positions 458 to 2686 of the family's 2925-position model. The record is from Rfam by way of RNAcentral. Lineage: Eukaryota; Metazoa; Chordata; Mammalia; Primates; Cercopithecidae.